CCUACGGGGGACUGCAGUGGGGAAUAUUGCGCAAUGGGCGAAAGCCUGACGCAGCGACGCCGCGUGAGGGAUGAAGGUCUUCGGAUCGUAAACCUCUGUCAGCAGGGAAGAACGGUCACUGUGCUAAUCAGCAGUGAAUUGACGGUACCUGCAAAGGAAGCACCGGCUAACUCCGUGCCAGCAGCCGCGGUAAUACGGAGGGUGCGAGCGUUAAUCGGAAUUACUGGGCGUAAAGCGCUCGUAGGCGGUAUGUCAAGUCAAGGGUGAAAUCCCCGGGCUCAACGUGGGAACUGCCUUUGAAACUGGCAAACUGGAGUGUGAGAGAGGAUAGUGGAAUUCCAGGUGGAGGAGUGAAAUGCGUAGAUAUCUGGAGGAACAUCAGUGGCGAAGGCGACUAACUGGCACAUAACUGACGCUGAGGAGCGAAAGCGUGGGUAGCAAACAGGAUUAGAUACCCGGGUAGUC
Molecule: ribosomal RNA, 465 nt
Filed under: uncultured bacterium
Lineage: Bacteria
Description: partial 16S ribosomal RNA
Rfam family: Bacterial small subunit ribosomal RNA
Source: RNAcentral